CCCUUAGAUGUUCUGGGCCGCACGCGCGCUACACUGACGCAUUCAGCGAGUUUUUCCUGCAUCGAAAGGUGUGGGUAAUCUUUUGAACCUGCGUCGUGAUGGGGAUAGAUUAUUGCAAUUAUUAAUCUUCAACGAGGAAUGCCUAGUAAGCGUGAGUCAUCAGCUCGCGUUGAUUACGUCCCUGCCCUUUGUACACACCGCCCGUCGCUCCUACCGAUUGGAUGGUCCGGUGAGGUUUUCGGACUGGCGUGAGUCGGAGCAAUCUGACAAACACCGGAAAGUUGAUUAAACCUUACCAUUUAGAGGAAGGUGAANUCGUANCA
This 323-nucleotide ribosomal RNA is filed under the name uncultured eukaryote. Its description in RNAcentral is "partial 18S ribosomal RNA". It matches the Rfam family "Eukaryotic small subunit ribosomal RNA", at positions 1470 to 1796 of the family's 1831-position model. The record is from RNAcentral.